AAGAUAGAAAUGGUGAAGCACAGAGUUGGCAGAGGAAGUGUCUAAGGGAAGUAAGUAUUGUAUCUUAGAACGACCGUGAGGACGGCGCGGGGGAACCCAGCUGGUAAGUUCUAGAUAUUAGUACAGAUUCCUUUGGUUUUCUUUCUUUGUCAUUUUCUGUGUUUCGUCUCUUUCAAUUUCAAA
RNAcentral lists this small RNA (183 nucleotides) under Nakaseomyces nivariensis. RNAcentral describes it as "[Candida] nivariensis partial ribonuclease P RNA". Lineage: Eukaryota; Fungi; Ascomycota; Saccharomycetes; Saccharomycetales; Saccharomycetaceae. The record is from RNAcentral.